RNAcentral lists this transfer RNA (73 nucleotides) under Pyrinomonadaceae bacterium. RNAcentral's name for it is "tRNA-Thr". It matches the Rfam family "tRNA". Rfam says of the family: Transfer RNA (tRNA) molecules are approximately 80 nucleotides in length. Their secondary structure includes four short double-helical elements and three loops (D, anti-codon, and T loops). Further hydrogen bonds mediate the characteristic L-shaped molecular structure. tRNAs have two regions of fundamental functional importance: the anti-codon, which is responsible for specific mRNA codon recognition, and the 3' end, to which the tRNAs corresponding amino acid is attached (by aminoacyl-tRNA synthetases). tRNAs cope with the degeneracy of the genetic code in two manners: having more than one tRNA (with a specific anti-codon) for a particular amino acid; and 'wobble' base-pairing, i.e. permitting non-standard base-pairing at the 3rd anti-codon position. RNAcentral also lists the same sequence under 1 other name. The record is from RNAcentral. Lineage: Bacteria; Pseudomonadati; Acidobacteriota; Blastocatellia; Blastocatellales; Pyrinomonadaceae.
GCUGGCGUAGCUCAGUUGGUAGAGCAUCUGAUUUGUAAUCAGAGGGUCGGGGGUUCAAGUCCCUUCGCCAGCU